GUUAGGCGGCUGCUGUUCAUGCACGGCGACCGAAUGAUCAGAAGCUUGCUUCUAUGACGUUAGCGGCGGACGGGUGAGUAACACGUGGGCAACCUGCCUGUAAGACUGGGAUAACUUCGGGAAACCGAAGCUAAUACCGGAUAGGAUCUUCUCCUUCAUGGGAGAUGAUUGAAAGAUGGUUUCGGCUAUCACUUACAGAUGGGCCCGCGGUGCAUUAGCUAGUUGGUGAGGUAACGGCUCACCAAGGCAACGAUGCAUAGCCGACCUGAGAGGGUGAUCGGCCACACUGGGACUGAGACACGGCCCAGACUCCUACGGGAGGCAGCAGUAGGGAAUCUUCCGCAAUGGACGAAAGUCUGACGGAGCAACGCCGCGUGAGUGAUGAAGGCUUUCGGGUCGUAAAACUCUGUUGUUAGGGAAGAACAAGUACAAGAGUAACUGCUUGUACCUUGACGGUACCUAACCAGAAAGCCACGGCUAACUACGUGCCAGCAGCCGCGGUAAUACGUAGGUGGCAAGCGUUAUCCGGAAUUAUUGGGCGUAAAGCGCGCGCAGGCGGUUUCUUAAGUCUGAUGUGAAAGCCCACGGCUCAACCGUGGAGGGUCAUUGGAAACUGGGGAACUUGAGUGCAGAAGAGAAAAGCGGAAUUCCACGUGUAGCGGUGAAAUGCGUAGAGAUGUGGAGGAACACCAGUGGCGAAGGCGGCUUUUUGGUCUGUAACUGACGCUGAGGCGCGAAAGCGUGGGGAGCAAACAGGAUUAGAUACCCUGGUAGUCCACGCCGUAAACGAUGAGUGCUAAGUGUUAGAGGGUUUCCGCCCUUUAGUGCUGCAGCUAACGCAUUAAGCACUCCGCCUGGGGAGUACGGUCGCAAGACUGAAACUCAAAGGAAUUGACGGGGGCCCGCACAAGCGGUGGAGCAUGUGGGUUUAAUUCGAAGCAACGCGAAGAUCUUUACCAGGUCUUGACAUCCUCUGACAACUCUAGAGAUAGAGCGUUCCUCUUCGGGGGACAGAGUGACAGUGGUGCAUGGUUGUCGA
This 1039-nucleotide ribosomal RNA is filed under the name Bacillus sp. G-35. RNAcentral describes it as "bacterial SSU rRNA". It matches the Rfam family "Bacterial small subunit ribosomal RNA", at positions 35 to 1055 of the family's 1533-position model. Lineage: Bacteria; Bacillati; Bacillota; Bacilli; Caryophanales; Bacillaceae. The record is from RNAcentral.